Long non-coding RNA from Planococcus citri (citrus mealybug), 1310 nucleotides. RefSeq lists it as uncharacterized. The transcript has 4 exons. The record is from RefSeq and is a predicted model, not a curated record. Lineage: Eukaryota; Metazoa; Arthropoda; Insecta; Hemiptera; Pseudococcidae.
GUGGGGGGGACGAAGUCCCCCCCAACGAACAGAAAGUACUAGUAGUGAUAAGAAUAUUCCUUCAUGAAUCGUGAUAUCACCGGCGACAUCGAGUUGAUCAAGAAUCAAGAUCAAGAAAAUGUCCAUUCCAUGUUUUCUCCGAACUUCCGAAACUGUGAUUUGAUUGCUGGUUUGCUGCCCUGAAUCAAGCGAAAUUCUACGAAAUUCAAGGAUUCAAUCAGGGAACAAUUUUGGUGCUCGAAGAAAGUGAUCUAUCGAAGAAAGUGAGGAUGACAAAGAUUACGAAUGAAGAUUCUUUUCAAUCAAUUAAAAAGUACUUGAAAGUAUAAAUAUCAAUUAUAUGGAGAAUAACAACAGUAGUAUGACACCAAGUAGAAGCAAACAUAAGAUGAGUAGUAUAGUUGGAAUGGGUGAACCUAGCGGUGGUAUUAAAUUAAUAAUUUCGCCACAAUACGAACCACCUCAAUUGUAACCAAGCAAGAAAAGGAGCGCAUGCAAGAAGAAAUGUACCAGCAAAUGUCCAGAUAUAAACGUAUGCGAAGGGAAGAUCAAGCUGCUUUAGAGAUGAGAUGGAAACGUGAAUUAUCAUUAUUAGAUGAAUCGACACCAAAGAGACAAACAAUCGACCCAAGAUAUCUGCAUAGUUAUCGUUGGCAAUAAAACUUAUCUCGAAAAAGAUAGAAUUUAGAGUUAGUUGACCAGUAUUAAGUAAACUUCAGACCUCAGGUUCAUGUUUAGCUGCAUUUUUACUUGACUAAUGUGUUCAAUUCUAAGUAUUUGUUCUAGAUACGCUAAACAAGUUGGAGCAAAAGUAUAGCAAAACAGUAUCUUGUGUCAGCAAAACUAAACCGUGAUAUAGAAAAAUUAUUCUUAGAAUUUACUCGGUUCAUGGUACAAAAAGCCGAAGAGCAAAUAAGUAAACUGAAAGAAAAGCCUAGAAAAUGCUGCGAUGGUCCAUCACAUUGAUAUCAUCGUUCUAAAAAUUAAUCAGUAUUUUGCAAGUUUCAUUAUCAAUAUCAAUGUAAUUUAUAUCCAACUGCGUAUUAUUACGUAGGAUCGAAUUUGCGUCCUGUUAGAAUAGCUAGAUUUGUGAUGUAUUGAUUUGUCUUAAGAAUAAGACUGGUUUAUACUGAACUUAAUGUACGUUAACAUAAAGUUGCCUUUGUUUAACUUCUAGGUUCAAGUUUAAGGUUACCAUUAAAUUCAGUAUAGCCGCACCUUCAUCGUUGAUCGAGUCAUAAUAGGUACACGUACCUAAUUGCUGAGUGUUGCACGCGCAUUGUUUCAAUUUUAAUACACAUUUUUUUUCA